Molecule: long non-coding RNA, 1908 nt
Organism: Neofelis nebulosa (Clouded leopard)
Lineage: Eukaryota; Metazoa; Chordata; Mammalia; Carnivora; Felidae
Exons: 2
Source: RefSeq, a predicted model, not a curated record
UGUGGCGCCGGUGGCGAAUGCUCCAAUAGGCGGAGAGCCGAUCAGCGCUCACGGUCUACUGGCUCACGGGAGCUGCCGCUCUGCGCUUGGGUCCCGCCCCCUUUCCGGGCCGCGUAGUUGGGUUGCAGCGCACCAGAGGGCAGUAUGAAGGGGUGAAAGGUCACGUUAUGUAAGCGCUGGUGACAGGCCUGCGGGCCUCCAGCGGCGGAGUUGAAAAUGGGGGUCAGCGGGGGACCGAAAGGCCUGGAAUUCAAAGAGGUCAGACCAGAGAAGCCCCUUAACAUAUACAGACACUGCGCCAUCUGUCACCGACGGCGACACCGACAUCCGGGCACCACUGUCCGUGUGGUGCGCCGGAGGGGGAGGGGGAGCGCGCGGCCAGGGGCUUUGUCUUUCCACCGUGCUCCGCCCCCUCCUUAAAGGCGCCGCGUUCGGCCACGCCCGGGGAGGCGCGGGUGGGGCGGAAAGAGAGGAGGGGUUGGCGGGAAUAAGCCCCAAGAUCCUACCCAAGCGAAGGUUCUCCUGAAGAACAGCUUGAGCCCCCAGUCUUGCUCACCCCAAAGUUAACUUCUGGAAGAGAGUGUGGUGGAGAUGUGGAUACUAGUAUGAUGCUUGUUUUUAGGGGCUUGGUGGAAAGGAUCAUACAGGAGCUUCUUUGGAAAAAUACACUAAAAGACAUACCUAGUAAAGAUACAUCCAUUAAUUCUAAUAGUCUUUCGCAGCACCUCCAAAGUUGAGGGCUCUGGACUGGGAGCUUCAGAGGAAAAACAAAAAAUAAGACCGAGACUUGUUUCUGAGAAAACAAGAGGCACGAAUAAUGCCAGUUCGGUGAAGAGUGCUGUCGGAAGUGCACAGUCCCAAGACAGCAGUAACUGCCUGGAGAGUGAGGCCAUUUGAGCUGCUUCCCCGAGCACACUACACCCACAUAGUCCAAACCAUGUCCUAUCCAGGACAAGCCGAAACACUCACGGAUAAUUCUCUCCCUAAUUAAAUUGUCCCCUUCCGUUCAAAGAUCUUCACUGGCCUCAGAACAUACCUCCCCAGCCUGUUCUUCAACAGGGCGGAGAAAGCGGUGGUGCAUGGCAGUGCCAGACCCUUUUCGUCUCAUCUUGAGGUGAGAAGUCUCCCCCCAGGGAAGGGAAUCAGGAGCACAAAAAGGAACUGGACGGAAAGCACAUUGUGACUGCCAGAGCCUUGGGGGAGUGGCAAACACGGAGCACCUGCUUAACGGGUCCAAGGUCAUGGAAAGUUUUGGAGAAAGCUAGCAAUGGCCACACAGUGUUAUGAAUGUACUUAUUGCCACUAAGCGGUACCCUUUUAAAUGGUUAAAAUGGUAAAUUUGAUGUUAUAUGCACUUUACCAUAAUCUAAAAAAGUAAAAAUGAAAGAAAAAGAAAAACCACUCAUGAAUGCCUCCUAAAGACCUGGAGCCAUGGCAAACAUACACUGGUUGCAUUCAGCGUGCAGAGGGACGGAAGUGUAAAUCAGACUACGUGACAACUUCAAGAGGGAUCUCCAAAUCGUUUCUAUCAGAAAGCUCCUCUGUGGGAGUAAUAAGACAAUUGGCAGGCACUCAGCCACCACCCCACUAGGCCCUGCCCCCACAACCUUCAAGAAAGAAGCACUCAAAUACCAACAAGACGUAUUUCAAAUAGUUUAAUUUUAAAAAUAUUCUAUUCAGUGCUAAAAUAUGUCUUCACUCACUGUUGCCCAUUUCCAUUUUCUUAAACUUUUUUGAACAAAAAAUAAAAUCACAAAGUUCAAUUAAACAUGCAGAUUUCAAAGAAGAGGGAACUUUCUAGAAAGUCUGAGCUGAAGGAGUACUGUGGGGGAUGGGUACUGUUGGCAGAACCUCAAAUCCUUGCUGGGGCAGAGUCUGUGGCAAGAGGCAGGGGAUGUUGGAAUGAAA